UCCACCGUUGUCAAAUCCAGUACCGUGCGUGCGGUUGUUGGAAUCGCCGGGUGGAGGAGUGGUGCGGCCGGCGAGCGAUUGCUCUGCAUUGUGGCCGGCGGCGAGCGGCUUCAGCUGGGGAUUACGGCCGGCGGCGAGCAGCUUCAGCUGGGGAUCGAGGCGAGCGGCGGGUGUCCUCGGCGGUGCUGAAUCGAUUCGGGAUCAGUUGCUGGACUCGGCGACGUGGUGAGCGGAAGGCGGCCAGGCGGGCGUCCCGUUCCUCGCGCAGCAGUUCGGCUGGCUGCUGCUCUCCCGCCGGUCGCCAUCCCGUUCCUCACCCCCAGCUUGCCGUCUACUCCGCCCCGGCGACGGCUCGCUGUCUCCUCCGCCGGAGUGUGCCUCGACUUGAAGAACUUUCUGGCCCUGGCUCCAACAACGAUGAGGAACAGGGGAAUUGCAGCGCCUUAGAUUUACUCUAGGAACUUACAACCUGGGUUGCUUUUUAGCUGAAUUUAUUUGGAGUGCAAAGAAUUGAGGCCGUAAGUAUAUGUUCAGUUCUAGUUCUUUUUAAUUAUCAAUGCAAAUUAGAGGCCGAUUGAAUUAGCUUGUGUGCGUUUUCCUUCACAAAAUGCAAGAAACGACUGCUGUACAUUGUGCUCAUCAUGUGCAUCACUGUCCAUUUUCUUGGCGAAAUAAAGAACAGACUAACCUGGUAGUUUCUGGCUUUCUGCACAAGUUUUGAAACUAAUCAUCUCAUUUAUUCAAGAUCAUAAAAUUUUCAAUUAAUUGAUUACUGUUUUAGUUGUACCUGUCCUCAGUUGCAUCUUUGUACAUAGAUUUUGAUUGGCAAUAAAGAAUGGAAUAACUUGGUCAGUUAAUGUUGUGAGGAAGCUGAUCUAUUACAGUUCUAUUAGGUGAGCUCAAGUCUGAAUCCAAUAGUGUAGGUUCUGUUACUAUUUUUCAUUUGGAGUUUUGUGAUCCAGUAAUUAUUCAUGUUACUCAAAACCUAGUGUUUGUUUGUCCUCGGCUCCGCCGUGGUUGGCUUGUGGAAGCUGCGCGCCGUGGUUGGCCGGCUGGAUCGGCGGUAAUGGCAGGUGCAGAUUAGUGGUAGUUUGCAGACCAAUAAAGAGGGGGCGUCGAUGACCAUCCGGCCGAGUCCGGAGGAGGUACCGCUAGAAAUCGAGAGGUUGUCGAUGGAGAGUAGGCGUUGGAGGCGGAUGGUGGAGGGGAUCGGCGUGCAGAGGUCGCGGCACGACAUCACCGUAUCCUGCUCUGUCUCCAGGUCUCCUCCGGCGACCGCCUGCACAAGCUGCUGCCACCUCCGACCUUAUGCUCCGGCAGCAGCUGCGAUCCCCGACCUCCACCAGUUGCCGUAAGCAAUCACCACCCCUUUUAUAUGAGAGCCACAAUCGUCCAAACCUCCAGAUCCCGUCCAUGUCCCGCGACUUUCAGUCGAUUCCCAUGGUUAGGGAUGCUUCUCAAUGCCUGGCCUUGAAUCUGACCUCUUUGCCCAUCUCUCUUCCUCCUUCCGUCUAAUCGGUUGUGUCUCCCGUGGGUAAUAGCUUGUGUAUGGAUUGGAUCGGCGUCCUCCUGCGGCUGCCAUAACGCUAGCAGAUAUCCACGAAUUGGGCAUCUAGCCCCUUGCAAUUUUACGUCAACUUUCAGUUUGGGUACUGGGCUACUGGCUAAAUGAUAUUUUCAUUGGGAAGUUCUUCUACUAACUCCUGAUUCGCGUGGAGAUACCAAAUUUCAAUUCCAAAAGAUAAUUAUUGGUCUCCAACUAGUGUUGAUUUUUUACUUCGUUUGUUCAAAUGGAAAUAGCGCUGACUUUUUAACUCAAUUUGUUGAUGUAGAGAUCCAGGUGAGGCCAAGUCUUCUACAGAUAAGGUGGUGUUGGUCGACUGGCUGGAUCGGCGGCAAUGACGGUGUGCUGGCGUGGUACACAUCGGUGGUGGUUGCCUGCUGCGCUGGUCUAGCAGCGCGGCGGGUUGUGGCAACGGGCUGAAUUGACAUCGUUGUCGUACAUUAUGGCGGUGGUGGUUGAGGGCGGCAUCGGCAUCGGCCACCUCUUGCUCUAUCUCCGGAUUUCCUCCGUCGACCACCUCCUGCUACGUUGCCAGCUCCCCUCCGUCGCGAAGGCCCUAGACUGUGCGCGUCCGAGGCAUACCAUAUCGAUCUCCACCAUCGACCUGUAUAGUGACCGAUGUAGGAGCACCUGAAGAAUCCAAGUUCAGCCAGGAGUGCAAGUGUUGAGGUAUGAUGGGUUUUUGGCAGAUUCACGUUCCGUGAUGUCAGAGGUGAAGUAGAGAAGAGACACUGGGAUGGUCUUCUGGCUGGUGCCUAGUGCAUCAAGUGUAUGGCACUGCAGCAGGUAGCAUAGAUGGUAUGCAAUGCUGCGGGUGGCCUCGUCUGCGACAUCAUCGACGUAUGGGACAGACGGCGAUGUUCAAAAUAUUAAGUGGGAUUGGGGGUGUGUCCUGCUCCUGGGUACACAAUGAAAUGUAGAGCUGCACCGCAUGUUGUGGUCUUCAGCGUCGGGCUGCCUAGUACGGUGGAAAUACAACAUCAAAGCGUCGUCUAGUGGAGCUGAUGUAACUAAAUAAUUUGCAUCGACUCAUGUAAUUUAUUACAUGUUGACAUAUUAAUUCCUUUACUUUUGAUAUGCGCGCAAUGCCUGAAAUAUGUAGACACAUGUGUGCAUGGACACACUGGAGUUCUUGCUCAAGCCGUACGUGUAAAACUUGCAAUGUGUAAUCAGGCCAUACUUACUAUUCUUACGGGCAUUAAACUUUUACAUCACCUCUGAAA
Molecule: long non-coding RNA, 2787 nt
Organism: Lolium rigidum
Lineage: Eukaryota; Viridiplantae; Streptophyta; Magnoliopsida; Poales; Poaceae
Exons: 6
Source: RefSeq, a predicted model, not a curated record